Molecule: ribosomal RNA, 222 nt
Filed under: uncultured bacterium
Lineage: Bacteria
Description: partial 16S ribosomal RNA
Rfam family: Bacterial small subunit ribosomal RNA
Source: RNAcentral
AGCAAACACAAUAAGUAAUCCACCUGGGGAGUACGUCCGCAAGGAUGAAACUCAAAGGAAUCGACGGGGACCCGCACAAGCGGUGGAGCAUGUGGUUUAAUUAAAAGCAACGCGAAGAACCUCCCCCGGCCUUGACAUCCCCCUGACAGCAUAUGAAAAAAAAGUUCCUUUCGGGGCAGGGGAGACAGGUAGUGCAUGGUUGUCGUCAGCUCGUGUCGUGAG